Molecule: ribosomal RNA, 389 nt
Filed under: Haptolina sp.
Lineage: Eukaryota; Haptophyta; Prymnesiales; Prymnesiaceae
Description: partial small subunit ribosomal RNA
Rfam family: Eukaryotic small subunit ribosomal RNA
Source: RNAcentral
AUUCCAGCUCCAAUAGCGUAUAUUAAAGUUGUUGCAGUUAAAACGCUCGUAGUCGGAUUUCGGGGCCUGCCUGCCGGUCUGCCGAUGGGUAUGCACUGGCAGGCGCGUCCUUCCUUCCGGAGACUGUCCCUACUCUUAACUGAGCGGGGUCGGGAGACGGAUCGUUUACUUUGAAAAAAUCAGAGUGUUUCAAGCAGGCAGCUCGCUCUUGCAUGGAUUAGCAUGGGAUAAUGAAAUAGGACUUUGGUGCUAUUUUGUUGGUUUCGAACACCGAAGUAAUGAUUAACAGGGACAGUCAGGGGCACUCGUAUUCCGCCGAGAGAGGUGAAAUUCUCAGACCAGCGGAAGACGAACUACUGCGAAAGCAUUUGCCAGGGAUGUUUUCAUCA